RNAcentral lists this transfer RNA (71 nucleotides) under Strophurus wellingtonae. RNAcentral describes it as "tRNA-Gln". It matches the Rfam family "tRNA". From Rfam's summary of the family: Transfer RNA (tRNA) molecules are approximately 80 nucleotides in length. Lineage: Eukaryota; Metazoa; Chordata; Lepidosauria; Squamata; Diplodactylidae. The record is from RNAcentral.
UAGAAGAUAGUAUAGAGUGGUAGUACAUGAAUUUUGGACUUUAUGGUGUAGGUUCGUGGCCUAUUCUUCUA